AGAUCUGCUCGUAAAGCCCGAGCAGGGUAAAAUAAAAAAAGCUUACUGAGA
This 51-nucleotide non-coding RNA is filed under the name Acetivibrio cellulolyticus CD2. RNAcentral's name for it is "6A RNA". It matches the Rfam family "6A RNA". Rfam says of the family: Actinobacteria (1 example), Firmicutes, Fusobacteria. Terminator (Clostridia) Lineage: Bacteria; Bacillati; Bacillota; Clostridia; Acetivibrionales; Acetivibrionaceae. The record is from Rfam by way of RNAcentral.